RNAcentral lists this ribosomal RNA (543 nucleotides) under Triticum aestivum (bread wheat). RNAcentral's name for it is "partial small subunit ribosomal RNA". Lineage: Eukaryota; Viridiplantae; Streptophyta; Magnoliopsida; Poales; Poaceae. The record is from RNAcentral.
AUGGAUCAGGAGCUAAUCAAGCACCUUAAGGCUAAAAUGAGUGCUGACAGCGCGGGAUCUCACCCUCCCAUCGAUUUGUUCAUACCAACCAUUAACAACGAGCACGGCAUAUGCUACACCCAUCCUGAGAAACUUCCAGGUACCACACUGAGUGGCCUAAGCAAGCAUUUGUUCCAGCGCAAUUCCAGGGCAUACAAAAGGGGCACGUGGACGCGUUGCAAGAUACAGUCGGAGUGUGGCAUGCACGCAAUGUGGCACAACACCAGCAAUACCUUGCCGAGGACCAACUGGGUGAUGCACCUGUACCAACUCGGGGACCUGGAGCAAGAGAAGGAGCAGGAGCUGGUCCUCUGCAAGAUUUUCCACCAGACGAACACUAGGGCCAGGAGUAAAAAAGAUUAUAAGUUAGUUUGGUAUUGGUUCUUGUACUACCUUAUUUUCCGCAAGUUGGUAUUGUUGUUAAUGAUCUUUUGGUCGAGCAAGUUUCAACUGGGUUGUAGACUGCCCAGGCUUGGUUUUCUUUUUAACAGGCCCAGCCCAUGA